UACGUAGGGCGCAAGCGUUGUCCGGAAUUAUUGGGCGUAAAGAGCUCGUAGGCGGCCUGUUGCGUCCGCUGUGAAAUCCCGGGGCUUAACCCCGGGCUUGCAGUGGAUACGGGCAGGCUGGAGGCAGGCAGGGGAGAACGGAAUUCCCGGUGUAGCGGUGAAAUGCGCAGAUAUCGGGAGGAACACCGGUGGCGAAGGCGGCUCUCUGGGACGGUACUGACGCUGAGACGCGAAAGCGUGGGGAGCGAACAGG
RNAcentral lists this ribosomal RNA (253 nucleotides) under uncultured bacterium. RNAcentral describes it as "partial 16S ribosomal RNA". It matches the Rfam family "Bacterial small subunit ribosomal RNA", at positions 524 to 776 of the family's 1533-position model. The record is from RNAcentral.